RNAcentral lists this non-coding RNA (26 nucleotides) under Mus musculus (house mouse). The record is from RNAcentral. Lineage: Eukaryota; Metazoa; Chordata; Mammalia; Rodentia; Muridae.
UAAUGCUUCAAAGGAUGGUUAUCAUU